AGUAACGCGUGAGGAACCUGCCUUCCAGAGGGGGACGAACAGUUGGAAACGACUGCUAAUACCGCAUGAUGCGUUGGAGCCGCAUGACUCCGACGUCAAAUAUUUAUCGCUGGAAGAUGGCCUCGCGUCUGAUUAGCUAGUUGGUGAGGUAACGGCCCACCAAGGCGACGAUCAGUAGCCGGACUGAGAGGUUGGCCGGCCACAUUGGGACUGAGAUACGGCCCAGACUCCUACGGAAGGCAGCAG
RNAcentral lists this ribosomal RNA (246 nucleotides) under uncultured bacterium. RNAcentral's name for it is "partial 16S ribosomal RNA". It matches the Rfam family "Bacterial small subunit ribosomal RNA", at positions 109 to 354 of the family's 1533-position model. The record is from RNAcentral.